GUUGAUCCUGCCGGAGGUUACUGCUAUCGAGGUUCGACUAAGCCAUGCGAGUCGAAUGUAGCAAUACAUGGCGUACUGCUCAGUAACACGUGGAUAACCUACCCUUGAGUCGGGGAUAAACCCGGGAAACUGGGUAUAAUACCCGAUAGAUCUCGACUGCUGGAAUGCAUCGAGCUCUAAAGCUCCGGCGCUCAAGGAUGGAUCUGCGGCCUAUCAGGUAGUAGUGGGUGUAGCGUACCUACUAGCCUACGACGGGUACGGGUUGUGAGAGCAAGAGCCCGGAGAUGGAUUCUGAGACACGAAUCCAGGCCCUACGGGGUGCAGCAGGCGCGAAAACUUUACAAUGCUGGAAACAGCGAUAAGGGGACCUCGAGUGCCAGGUUACAAAUCUGGCUGUCGUGAUGCCUAAAAAGCAUUGCAUAGCAAGGGCCGGGCAAGACCGGUGCCAGCCGCCGCGGUAACACCGGCGGCUCGAGUGGUAACCGUUAUUAUUGGGUCUAAAGGGUCUGUAGCCGGCCGGAUAAGUCUCUUGGGAAAUCCAGCAGCUCAACUGUUGGGCUUUCAGGAGAUACUGUCUGGCUCGAGGCCGGGAGAGGUGAGAGGUACUUCAGGGGUAGGGGUGAAAUCUUGUAAUCCUUGAAGGACCACCAGUGGCGAAGGCGUCUCACCAGAACGGACCUGACGGCAAGGGACGAAAGCUAGGGGCACGAACCGGAUUAGAUACCCGGGUAGUCCUAGCCGUAAACGAUACUCGCUAGGUGUCGGCCACGGUGCGACCGUUGUCGGUGCCGUAGGGAAGCCGUGAAGCGAGCCACCUGGGAAGUACGGCCGCAAGGCUGAAACUUAAAGGAAUUGGCGGGGGAGCACCACAAC
RNAcentral lists this ribosomal RNA (873 nucleotides) under uncultured archaeon. Its description in RNAcentral is "bacterial SSU rRNA". It matches the Rfam family "Archaeal small subunit ribosomal RNA", at positions 7 to 885 of the family's 1478-position model. The record is from RNAcentral.